Molecule: transfer RNA, 90 nt
Filed under: Ktedonobacterales bacterium
Lineage: Bacteria; Bacillati; Chloroflexota; Ktedonobacteria; Ktedonobacterales
Description: tRNA-Ser
Rfam family: tRNA
About the family: Transfer RNA (tRNA) molecules are approximately 80 nucleotides in length. Their secondary structure includes four short double-helical elements and three loops (D, anti-codon, and T loops).
Source: RNAcentral
GGAGAGAUGUCCGAGCGGUUUAAGGAGCUGCCCUCGAAAUGCAGUGUGCUUUAACAGGUACCGUGGGUUCGAAUCCCACUCUCUCCGCCA